UCAAUAUUCAGACAAAUCCAGAAAGAGGUUCUGGUUUUUGAAGUCAUCUUCUCCAGAGUGUCAACCCCCACCCACAAAAGGUAGUUUCCAGAAAAGGAAGUGAAAGAUAGAUGGGGGACAAAACAUCUCUGAAGUCAGCACUCUGACUGGUAACACGUGAAAUUUUGCAAAUACACAGAUCUAUGUUCCAGAGCUCUCUCCAUAGGCUUUUUUUUUUUUUUUGCUCUGCUCCUGAAGUUUCAUCCUGCUCCUUGGAAAUAACUUCUGGAAAGUGAAGUUUUGCCAAGCUUGAAAUCAGGCCCUUUUCUUCACUCAGGGCAGAGGCCUGAGACGGAGAAAGGAGUGCUGGCCCCGCAGCGAGCUGAGAGCUGACGGUGGCUACAACAGGGCUUCCCCGGCCGAACCGGAACCGGGCGUCCAGAGCCUGGGAGCCGGACCAGCCACUGAAACGAUGAAAACACGGAGGGGAAGAGGCCGUUUCUGCAGUUUCCCAACUGCGCCGGUCCUGGGAGCGGCCUCCCAUAACGAGCAGCAGCCCUG
This 540-nucleotide long non-coding RNA is filed under the name Sus scrofa (pig). RNAcentral describes it as "lncRNA (ENSSSCG00070003626.1)". Lineage: Eukaryota; Metazoa; Chordata; Mammalia; Artiodactyla; Suidae. The record is from RNAcentral.